RNAcentral lists this ribosomal RNA (468 nucleotides) under uncultured bacterium. RNAcentral's name for it is "partial 16S ribosomal RNA". It matches the Rfam family "Bacterial small subunit ribosomal RNA", at positions 28 to 507 of the family's 1533-position model. The record is from RNAcentral.
GACGAACGCUGGCGGCGUGCUUAACACAUGCAAGUCGAACGGAAAGGCCCUGCUUUUGUGGGGUGCUCGAGUGGCGAACGGGUGAGUAACACGUGAGUAACCUGCCCUUGACUUUGGGAUAACUUCAGGAAACUGGGGCUAAUACCGGAUAGGAGCUCCUGCUGCAUGGUGGGGGUUGGAAAGUUUCGGCGGUUGGGGAUGGACUCGCGGCUUAUCAGCUUGUUGGUGGGGUAGUGGCUUACCAAGGCUUUGACGGGUAGCCGGCCUGAGAGGGUGACCGGCCACAUUGGGACUGAGAUACGGCCCAGACUCCUACGGGAGGCAGCAGUGGGGAAUAUUGCACAAUGGGCGGGAGCCUGAUGCAGCAACGCCGCGUGCGGGAUGACGGCCUCCGGGUUGUAAACCGCUUUCGCCUGUGACGAAGCGUGAGUGACGGUAAUGGGUAAAGAAGCACCGGCUAACUACGUG